RNAcentral lists this ribosomal RNA (472 nucleotides) under uncultured bacterium. RNAcentral's name for it is "partial 16S ribosomal RNA". It matches the Rfam family "Bacterial small subunit ribosomal RNA", at positions 28 to 507 of the family's 1533-position model. The record is from RNAcentral.
GACGAACGCUGGCGGCGUGCUUAACACAUGCAAGUCGAACGCUGAAGCUUGGUGCUUGCACUGGGUGGAUGAGUGGCGAACGGGUGAGUAAUACGUGAGUAACCUGCCCUUGACUCUGGGAUAAGCCUGGGAAACUGGGUCUAAUACUGGAUACGACAUGUCACCGCAUGGUGGUGUGUGGAAAGGGUUUUAGUGGUUUUGGAUGGGCUCACGGCCUAUCAGCUUGUUGGUGGGGUAAUGGCUCACCAAGGCGACGACGGGUAGCCGGCCUGAGAGGGUGACCGGCCACACUGGGACUGAGACACGGCCCAGACUCCUACGGGAGGCAGCAGUGGGGAAUAUUGCACAAUGGGCGGAAGCCUGAUGCAGCGACGCCGCGUGAGGGAUGACGGCCUUCGGGUUGUAAACCUCUUUCAGCACGGAAGAAGCGAAAGUGACGGUACGUGCAGAAGAAGCGCCGGCUAACUACGUG